UGAUGAAUGCAGCAACGGCCAAGCUAGAUGUCAUCAAUUGUGUACAAAUACAGUAGGAAGCUACAACUGUUCUUGUAGACCUGGAUUUGAGCUGAAGUCAGAUGGCAUCUCAUGUCAAGAUGUAAAUGAGUGUGCAACUAACAACCACAACUGUAGCCAGGCCUGUAGUAACACAGAAGGGAGCUACUUCUGUUAUUGUAACCAAGGUUAUAACCUGGCUAAUGAUGGCGGGACCUGUAAUCUUAUUGUGACUACAACAGUGAGUGUGAGUACAAC
This is a long non-coding RNA of Saccostrea cuccullata (small rock oyster), 276 nucleotides long. RefSeq lists it as uncharacterized. The record is from RefSeq and is a predicted model, not a curated record. NCBI's taxonomy places the organism in Eukaryota, Metazoa, Mollusca, Bivalvia, Ostreida, Ostreidae. The transcript has 2 exons.